CACAUCCGCCACUAGGGGGCUUUAGCGACAUCCUCUCAUUCUAUUGAACUGUUGAUGAGAAGGAAGCAACCUAAAAUCACUACGGUGAUUCUUCUACCGUUACACAGGAGAACGCUGUUUCUAAACUCUUCCACAUUCAGCUGGAAAUGCUACUUGGUCUGGAGUUCUCCCGUAAGACGUUGCUGACUGAUGUUCUGGCGGUCUUUGGAUUAUUAAUUUUGGCUCUCAGCCUGCUGAAACUCACCUGGAAAUGUUGCCGUGGAUUCAGACAGUAUGUCUUGUCGUCGCUUUGUCAGGUGAACCUGCAGGCGUAUGGACAAUGGGCAGUUGUAACUGGUGCCACGUCUGGCAUUGGUAAAGCUUAUGCUAUUGAGUUGGCACGUCGGGGUC
Poecilia latipinna (sailfin molly) is the source of this 390-nucleotide long non-coding RNA. RefSeq lists it as uncharacterized. The record is from RefSeq and is a predicted model, not a curated record. The transcript has 4 exons. Lineage: Eukaryota; Metazoa; Chordata; Actinopteri; Cyprinodontiformes; Poeciliidae.